ACCUCAGCCUCCCAAAGUGCUGGAAUUACAGGCGUAAGCCACCACGCCCGGCCUAGAUACACUUUUCAAUGAGAGAGUUGUAUAAUUGAUACUGAAUUUCAGGAAGAUGGGCAGAUUUUUUAUUGAAAUAUAAGCUUCCAAUAAAUCAAAAUGAGAUUUUAAAAAAAGAGUAAAUGCAAACAACAGUAUCCCACUGUCAGGUUCUCAAACGCCGUUUUGAUGGGAUAAAUCCUCCUCAGUAAGGACAGUAGCAGUUUUUCGUUAAACCGUACAUCACUAGCCUGAGAACAAGUCUCGGUUAUCACAGUCGACUCAUGUGGUGAUUGGGAAUUCUUUCAGGGCAACAGGCAAUGUGUUAAAUGGGCACUGUUGAGGACACUGUGCAAAGUUAUGAAAUUCUCUCUUUCCCUCCUGACAUUUUUCUCCAAAUACUUCAGUGGCUACUCCAGAAGCAAAGGAAUAGAGAAAAGAAUGAAAUCAGAACUAGUGAGUGGACUUGGUUUACUGUAAGAUCACUGAUAAAAGUCUGAAACAAAAGGAUAAAACCAAAAAUGAAAUCUAUAUAUAAUAAUUGACUUUUAGUGAGAAAGGAGAUUUUAGAGACAUGCUACUCCAAAUGUUUGUUAUAGAUAAGGAAAUUGAAGCCCAAAGAGGUCAUGGGUUGCCCAAGUACUGCAGCUGGUUAUGACAUGGUUGGGACUAGAGCCCAAAUAUCCACUCUGGUAAUCUAGUUUCUACUUCUCUUGCCAGUGGAACUAUUCACAUUUCUCCUUAUAGAACCAAUUCUCUGUUGUUAGGAAACAGGGACUCCCCAAGUCUUCAGAAUUCAGGGUUAGCUCUUUUAAACACUGGAUAAGAACAGAGAAAUGUAAAGAAAUGCCAAGAAACAACUUCCCACUCGGCAGGGCCCCACAUGUUCCAACUCCACAAGGACCAACCGCACCUGCCGCCACUCUCCCCCUUGCUAACUCCACUCCAGCCACACUGGCCCCUCUCUCAUCUCCAACAAGCCACUUCCAAGCUGAGGGCCUGGACACCAGCAGAUCCUUUAUUUGGCCUCUUUUUCACCCAGAUCACCCCUUUUCAUCACUCAGGUCUCUGUUCAAGUGCACUUCCUCUAAGAAGUCCUUCCCAACCACCCUAACGACCAACUCUUCCUGUCACUUGGAUACCCAGGUAGCUCCACAACUUGGUGCUGGGAAAUCCUUUCAUUUACAUUUUUAUAAAACUGAAGGGAAAAGACAGAAAACCUGUUGGCAUCUAUCCCAAGAAUAUCUCCUGGGCACUUCUAAGUAAAGGUCACUGCCAACAACAAAAAAAUAACCAACUUUCAACCUACUCAAGACAUGUAAGAAUUCAAGACCAAAUCUGAAUGCAUCCCAGAGUUACCUGAUUCUGCCAGCAGAAGCCCUGCAGUGCUGAAUUUCUGGGCAUGUGAAUGAUAUAUUGUUGCACUGAAACAUUCAUUUUCCAAGAUUCCUUUCCAAAUUCAACUCCAUGGUUUUUUUUGUUUUUUGUUUUUUGUUUUCUAAAGGGCAAAAUACUAACCUGUUCCCAAGCUAUUCAGCAAUAUUUUGGCACAGGUAAUCCAUUAAGAGAAUUGUUUGUAUAGAACAGAGCUGGUGUCAAUAACAGGGCGCCCCAACCUGCCCCUCUUUCUAAGCUCUUCACCUAUAGACAACGGCCCAGCUAUUGACAUUUAAUUCUUACCAGAUGGCUGUUCUAUUGCAGCUCAAAGACUUAGCUGCAUAUGAUUAAGUCAACACACAACACUGGGUGCAACAUUUAAGCCCACAUUUAAGCAAAGUGAAGAGCUUGAGAUCAUCUAAAUGGGAGAAGGAGCAAGGGAAAACUCACUAUCCACUGUAUCUUUGUUACCUUUGGCAAAUUCUCAAGGGUAGGGAGUCAGGACUGCCAGUGCCUGGCACUGUGCCUGACACAUUACAAACAGGUGCUUAGUAAAUAAUGAUUUCAUUAUUGAAUAAAUGCCUAAGCCUUGGGAAAGCCCACCUUGCCCAGAGCCACUCACAGUGCAUGUCAACUCCAUCUAUAGGAAGUGUGUUGUGAAUUCAAGGUGUUGCUCUUUGUCCCUGGAUGCACAGUGGGUGACCGUGAGCUCUGAGGACUGCCUUUUUUCUCACUCCCGCAAUGCUUUGCACGGGUGCCCAGUUCACAAAGGCAGCUGCAGCUGACUGUCCAACUGCCUGGUUCUAAUUUAUGUGGAGAGAGGCCUCCGCUCAACAAACUGAAAUAAUUCGUUCUUCUAAUCUUCCGUAUUUUAAUAAAUAAAUGAAAGAUGGAGAAAGAUUCACGUGUACUCUGUCCUGACGAAACAGUAGAGCUCUUUGGAAAAUCAUGAAAUUUUUACUGUGCAAAGCAGUAAGAUACAAGCAAUGAAACUCAAAAGCAUUUUCCCAAGUAUUCAGAGGCCAGAUCUGCCCCCAGAUCUGUAAAUCCUAUGUAAUCUAGGCUAAAAAAAAAACCAAAAAAAA
Long non-coding RNA from Cercocebus atys (sooty mangabey), 2492 nucleotides. RefSeq lists it as uncharacterized. Lineage: Eukaryota; Metazoa; Chordata; Mammalia; Primates; Cercopithecidae. The transcript is spliced from 2 exons. The record is from RefSeq and is a predicted model, not a curated record.